UUGUGGAGGCACUUCAACAUGAGAAAGCUCUGAUACUCUUGCCAUUCUUGGGGGACCAAGGGUUAAAUGUGAGGAUUUUGGAGGAGAAGAAAAUGGGAUACCCAAUACCAAGGAACGAAUUGGACGGAAGUUUCACUAGGAAGUCAGUUGCCGAGUCAGUGAGAUUGGUAAUGGUGGAGGAAGAGGGUAAGAUUUACAGAGAAAAAGCUAAGGAGAUGAGAGGAUUGUUUGGAGACAGAGAAAGACAGAAUAGGUGCAUAGACAACUUUCUGGGUUACCUCAAGAGCCAUAGGCGUCCAUGAAGAUUGAUAACCUGCUCAAAGUACAAAUGGUGUUCAGAAUAUCAGAAAAGAACAAAGAAGAAGAAGAAGAAG
Molecule: unclassified non-coding RNA, 374 nt
Filed under: Hevea brasiliensis (rubber tree)
Lineage: Eukaryota; Viridiplantae; Streptophyta; Magnoliopsida; Malpighiales; Euphorbiaceae
Source: RNAcentral